CUACGACAUUCUUAUUAGCUUCAAAGGUUAUUACCACAAAACAACCUGUCUCUCUAGCGAUCCAUAAACUACACCUUAAUGAGAUCUGCUGAUGGAAAGAAACUGAGGUCAAAAACAGCAGCUAAUGGGAGUAGUAGGAUUUCCUUGGAGAGGUUCUUUGGCUGGUGUUAUGACUAGAACGUGAGCUUUAUACAAAAUCAAGAUGCUGUGCAGUUGAAGAAAAGUGGUUACUUUGACCCAACACUCCAGUUUGUUUUUUGGUCAGCCAUAUUGGGAGCAUAUUCUCUGUGGGUCUAUCAUGUUUUAAUCUAAUUUAGUCUAAUAAAUGCCAGGUUUCCCUUCGUGGCAGAUUUUGUGCACAUGGGCUUGAAAUCCAUUA
Molecule: long non-coding RNA, 379 nt
Organism: Talpa occidentalis (Iberian mole)
Lineage: Eukaryota; Metazoa; Chordata; Mammalia; Eulipotyphla; Talpidae
Exons: 3
Source: RefSeq, a predicted model, not a curated record